AGAACGAACGCUGGCAGCAGGCUUAACACAUGCAAGUCGAACGCAUCCUUCGGGGUGAGUGGCAGACGGGUGAGUAACACGUGGGAACGUACCCUUUGGUUCGGAAUAACCCUGGGAAACUAGGGCUAAUACCGGAUGUGGCCGUGAGGCGAAAGGUUUACUGCCAAAGGAUCGGCCCGCGUCCGAUUAGCUAGUUGGUGUGGUAAUGGCGCACCAAGGCGACGAUCGGUAGCUGGUCUGAGAGGAUGACCAGCCACAUUGGGACUGAGACACGGCCCAAACUCCUACGGGAGGCAGCAGUGGGGAAUAUUGGACAAUGGGCGCAAGCCUGAUCCAGCCAUGCCGCGUGAGUGAUGACGGCCUUAGGGUUGUAAAGCUCUUUUACCUGGGAAGAUAAUGACGGUACCAGGAGAAUAAGCCCCGGCUAACUUCGUGCCAGCAGCCGCGGUAAUACGAAGGGGGCUAGCGUUGUUCGGAUUUACUGGGCGUAAAGGGCGCGUAGGCGGGCUGAUAAGUCAGGGGUGAAAUCCCAAGGCUCAACCUUGGAACUGCCUUUGAUACUGUUAGUCUUGAGUCCGGGAGAGGUGAGUGGAACUGCGAGUGUAGAGGUGAAAUUCGUAGAUAUUCGCAAGAACACCAGUGGCGAAGGCGGCUCACUGGCCCGGAACUGACGCUGAGG
This 679-nucleotide ribosomal RNA is filed under the name uncultured bacterium. RNAcentral's name for it is "bacterial SSU rRNA". It matches the Rfam family "Bacterial small subunit ribosomal RNA", at positions 26 to 751 of the family's 1533-position model. The record is from RNAcentral.